This 468-nucleotide ribosomal RNA is filed under the name uncultured bacterium. RNAcentral's name for it is "partial 16S ribosomal RNA". It matches the Rfam family "Bacterial small subunit ribosomal RNA", at positions 28 to 507 of the family's 1533-position model. The record is from RNAcentral.
GACGAACGCUGGCGGCGUGCUUAACACAUGCAAGUCGAACGGAAAGGCCCUGCUUUUGUGGGGUGCUCGAGUGGCGAACGGGUGAGUAACACGUGAGUAACCUGCCCUUGACUUUGGGAUAACUUCAGGAAACUGGGGCUAAUACCGGAUAGGAGCUCCUGCUGCAUGGUGGGGGUUGGAAAGUUUCGGCGGUUGGGGCUGGACUCGCGGCUUAUCAGCUUGUUGGUGGGGUAGUGGCUUACCAAGGCUUUGACGGGUAGCCGGCCUGAGAGGGUGACCGGGCACAUUGGGACUGCGAUACGGCCCAGACUCCUACGGGAGGCAGCAGUGGGGAAUAUUGCACAAUGGGCGGAAGCCUGAUGCAGCAACGCCGCGUGCGGGAUGACGGCCUUCGGGUUGAAAACCGCUUUCGCAUGUGACGAAGCGUGAGUGACGGUAAUGGGUAAAGAAGCACCGGCUAACUACGUG